This 22-nucleotide microRNA is filed under the name Plutella xylostella (diamondback moth). Its description in RNAcentral is "pxy-miR-8515". The record is from miRBase by way of RNAcentral. Lineage: Eukaryota; Metazoa; Arthropoda; Insecta; Lepidoptera; Plutellidae.
CGGCCGGUAAUGGAAUGAAUGC